GAGUGUUUCUGUAAAAAUAAAAUUGAAAAAUUAAAUGGAAUAAAUGAAAUAUUACUUUAAAAAAGUUAAAACAAAAAUAUCCAAAAUUAUAGUUUGAUUUUUUUAAAACGUUAAACACCAAGACAAAAUUUUAUUGGUUUAAAUAAAAAUAUAAAUGGCAGCAUCACAGAUGAACAAAAUUAAGCGGAGAUAUGCCCGAUUUUAAGAAAAUGAUCAAGCUUUUCAUCCUUCCUACUUGUGAUCUAUUAGCACUUUGCAAAUACAAUAAGCGACGAACAAAUCGCCAUAAAACCUUUGUGGCUUGAAUGUACUGAUAUAGAAUUGACGUAGAAAUGCAUACAUUUAAGAACAGAUGUACAUUGAUAUUAGUUAUUUUUCAUAUUAAACGAAUAUCACUUCAGCAUAAUCCAUUAACUAGAAUUAAAUUCAUACAUUUUCAACUACACUUAUUUCAACAUUAUAUCACCUUUAUAUAAUUAACAUCUAGCUUUGAAAGAGCUGUGUAAUCACUUUAUUAAGUUACUUUUAACAUACGCACGCAUACUAGCUUCGUUUCACCACCCAACUCGAACGGAAGCCACAAAACCAUCGAAACAAAAACAACAACACCGAAGCGGACAUUUUAAAAAUACUCGCCGCAAGAUCGACGGCCAGACGCGCACAAACCAGUGAAUGAAGAGUGUCCGUUAGUGGGAGAGAAGAAAUCGACAUAAUAUUCUCGUAAAAUUCAAAUCGCGCUGAAAACAACGGCCGAAACAUCAAAACCACACUUACACACGAUUUACGCUGGAGCGCUGGGUGUGCUCAGCUCACGCAGCUACAAGAGCAAACCUAUUCUGCACCAUAAAAAAAUAAAUCCAACUGACUAUUUUUGUGCUGCCAAGAGAAGAUUGCAACGUGUUUUCGACCAUGCGGUUUUUGUUUAUACAUUAAACAAUUUUUCGUUAGAUUUAGAGGAGAAAAAGAUGGUGGAUAGGGAAGAAAACACAAUCCAACAGAUGCAGCUAAAUAUACAGACCUAGAUGCGAAGAGAUAGGGAGAAGGGUGGUUGGGUUUAAGGGUCUUAAAAGAAACUAUUUUAGAAACAAUAAAGUGAAGACACUUUUUCCAAUUCGGAGGGCCGCUGUCGAAGGGUUGGUUUGGUGCAGUGCAGCUUGCUUCAAAUAGAAGCAUGAAGCAUCUCAACAACACAUGCCGUUCUUUAGCAUGUGGAACUACAUUUCCAAUCGCUCGCGUGACGUGUUGCCUUUGCGAUCUAAUGCAAUUAUACGUAUGCAUUGCUUAAAACCCUUCCAUCAACAAACUUAACGAAAUUUAGCCUAACGCUUUAAUUUCCACUUGAUGGUCAAGUAAACAUAUGACAACCAUAAAACAUUGAAAUGUAUUACUAUCAAAACUAUUUAAUCAUUUGCUGGUUUUACACUAAUUUAUUCUCAGAAGUACUUUGAUCUGUUCAAAUUAUUCAUGUAUAUUUUCCUUUAUCGUUGCAGAUAUCGUAAUCAGUGCUGCAAAAUAUCAUGAGCAUCAAAAGAUAUUCACCAACGAAAACAAUGAACAUAUCCAUGGUAGCUUGAUACCAGCAAUGAGCAUUUUCAAUGAAAGUGCGUCACGACAUGCGAGUGCUUGAGUUAAUCCCGAUACUCUGACUCAUAAGCUAAGCUUAAUGCCGUAACAGCAUUAUCAUGACUUUUUCUGACUGUGGACAGUGCUGCCAAAUGCCACUGUCUCAGUCACCAACACUCAUGGCUGAAACGAAGCUCAAAUCAGCUGACGUACACAACUGAGCUGAUCAGAGGUAAAACUCAAACAGUUGGUGGACCAAUCACAUACUUAAUGUCAAUUUUUUGGCUUGAUCACUAAACUCUUGAUCACUCACUUGGUCACGAUAUUUUCUGUCGGUGAUAAUCAAAGUGGGUAGAAAGUAGGUGUCGUAAUACAGAACAUUUGACCAUCAAGGCUUUAGAAAAAAGCACAAAACCAGGAUUGACGGCAGUUGUCAAAUGCGACGAAUGUUGCUGGUAUGUAUACGGUCACUUACCCCACACAUGCACCGCCUAAAUGCACCACUAUAAUACGGAAAGAAUAUGAAUAAGAAUUGUGGGUGGAAGGGUUUCGCUUAUUGUUCGUUCGAGCUAGAGGGGUUGGUUGGUUCAAUUUUCCCCGCGACUGCAGACAAUGCUUGUACGGCACUUUUCCAAAUUGCGCUUAAAACGCGUACACAUUCCGACGGCACACAUACAACUAUGUCUACACCCGCCUUUACCACCCCAAGGUGCGAGGGAGAAGAAUUGUGUGUUAAACGAAAUGCAACGAGCGGAGCAGCUUAGUAUUACAGCCAACUUCACCCUGUUGCUGAUGUUGUUUCUUUCUGUUUAUUUAAAAUCACCUAGCAGUCAGGUGGGUGGAUUCAACAGUCGAGUGUACGCUAAAUACAGCCCAGUAAUAAUAUUUCAAACGUAGGGAGUGUUACACACACACAUACGCACAGCCCUUUUAAAGAGGUGAAACGCAUCGUAUCGUUUGCGCACGUCGCUUCCAUUGCGUAGGCUAAUUGGUGACCCACAUGAGCCAAACCACAUACUUCCAGGUGCAGGUAUCGUCAAGUAAACCAGUCAAUUAGGGACUGCCCUUUAAGUAUGUAAACUAUUGAAGCACGUUCGAGCGGUGUUCCGAAUUCAUAAAACGGCGACAACUGUUUGCGGCUCGCUGCACCAAAACGUGCUGGGAUGACUUUCACGUUGCUAAUCAAAAACAGUUCCAACUCUGUAAGCAAUCGGUUCGUUAGGGAGAUUUGCGAUAAUGCUGAAUUAUUGCUGAACAAAGGUUGCAAGUUCUUUGACUUCUAACGUUCUGAAAUAUUUCUAAUUUUCAGAACAGAUCAAUCGAUUUCUUCUAAUGGCGUAGAUAGAGCUCGUUUGAUUUUUUUUUGUAAAAUAGGGUCUUAAAUCACUUAAAUCGUGUUGCGAUUUUUCCCUGUUUGUUUGUUAAACUCAAACUCAACCUCCAAUGAAGAUCCCGCUGCUUCGGCACAAAGGCAGCCGAAGGUGAUUAGAACACCGCCAAUGUUCGAUCGAUCGAACCCAAAGUAAAGGCGCGCCAUCAUCAACAACAUCAUCAUGAUCAUGAGCAUAAGCGUGGUCGUGAAGCAGGCAUGGAUGUCGUCAUCCGCGAGCGAUUCCAGCGUUUGUUUAUGAUCUCAACCUGCACAAGCGCCCUGACCUCUGCUCCAUGCCGUUCGUGCCACGCUGCACCAAAUCGAGCGUCGAAUAGGUUGAAGUUUUGCUUCACUGGGACUUGACUAAUGGCAAUUAAAUAAAUUCAAAACGCUCCGUAUGGGUGUGGUGUGGACAAAAGUGCCACUUACAAAUUUCUAACACACACACACACAGCCAUAUGAUCACAUUUGAAUGGAAGAAGAUUGCUGUCCCCAUCUGGGAUUUAUUUGCGUCUAAAUUAAAUUUUUACCCAUAUUACAGUUCACAAUAAUCAUCCUAAAAGAAAGACUUUCAAUUUUCGCGCCAUCAUCAUCUUAGUUGCAGGGGAAGGAAGGGUAGAGGGGCGUUUUUUUUUUCAUUUCUUUUCCCAACCCGUUCAAAACAAACCUUCUCUAACACACACACACACACACUGAAGAUCGUACACCCUCGGCUAACCCGUACACGGUACGAUCGCCACGAUUGUGAGGGAGCGAAAGAGAGGCAAAA
This is a long non-coding RNA of Anopheles gambiae (African malaria mosquito), 3704 nucleotides long. RefSeq lists it as uncharacterized. The transcript is spliced from 2 exons. NCBI's taxonomy places the organism in Eukaryota, Metazoa, Arthropoda, Insecta, Diptera, Culicidae. The record is from RefSeq and is a predicted model, not a curated record.